AUACGGAGGAUCCGAGCGUUAUCCGGAUUUAUUGGGUUUAAGGGUGCGCAGGCGGCCAUUUAAGUCAGCGGUUAAAUCGUGGGGCUCAACCCCAUUCUGCCGUUGAUACUGGGUGGCUUGAUUGCGGUCGAGGUUGGCGGAAUUCGUUGUGUAGCGGUGAAAUGCAUAGAUAUGACGAAGAACACCGAUUGCGUAGGCAGCUGACCAGACCGCAAAUGACGCUCAUGCACGAAAGUGCGGGGAUCGAACAGGAUUAGAUACCCUGGUAGUCCGCACAGUAAACGAUGAAUACUUGUUUUCGGCGAUAUAAUGUCGGAGGCAAAGCGAAAGCGAUAAGUAUUCCACCUGGGGAGUACGCCGGCAACGGUGAAACUCAAAUGAAUUGACGGGG
This 391-nucleotide ribosomal RNA is filed under the name uncultured bacterium. RNAcentral's name for it is "partial 16S ribosomal RNA". It matches the Rfam family "Bacterial small subunit ribosomal RNA", at positions 523 to 918 of the family's 1533-position model. The record is from RNAcentral.